GACGAACGCUGGCGGCGUGCUUAACACAUGCAAGUCGAACGGAAAGGCCCUGCUUGCAGGGUACUCGAGUGGCGAACGGGUGAGUAACACGUGGGUGCUCUGCCCUGCACUUCGGGAUAAGCUUGGGCAACUGGGUCUAAUACCGGAUAGGAGCCAUCUUUAGUGUGGUGGUUGGAAAGUUUUUUCGGUGUAGGAUGAGCUCGCGGCCUAUCAGCUUGUUGGUGGGGUAAUGGCCUACCAAGGCGGCGACGGGUAGCCGGCCUGAGAGGGUGUACGGCCACAUUGGGACUGAGAUACGGGCCAGACUCCUACGGGAGGCAGCAGGGGGGAAUAUUGCACAAUGGGAGCAAGCCUGAGGCAGCGACGCCGCGUGGGGGAUGAAGGCCUUCGGGUUGUAAACUCCGUUCGCUAGGGACGAAGCGUUGUUGUGACGGUACCUAGAUAAGAAGCACCGGCUAACUACGUG
RNAcentral lists this ribosomal RNA (466 nucleotides) under uncultured bacterium. RNAcentral describes it as "partial 16S ribosomal RNA". It matches the Rfam family "Bacterial small subunit ribosomal RNA", at positions 28 to 507 of the family's 1533-position model. The record is from RNAcentral.